RNAcentral lists this ribosomal RNA (253 nucleotides) under uncultured bacterium. RNAcentral describes it as "partial 16S ribosomal RNA". It matches the Rfam family "Bacterial small subunit ribosomal RNA", at positions 524 to 776 of the family's 1533-position model. The record is from RNAcentral.
UACGUAGGGUGCGAGCGUUAAUCGGAAUUACUGGGCGUAAAGCGUGCGCAGGCGGUUUUGUAAGCCAGAUGUGAAAGCCCCGGGCUUAACCUGGGAAUGGCAUUUGGGACUGCAAGGCUUGAGUGCGGCAGAGGAGACUGGAAUUCCUGGUGUAGCAGUGAAAUGCGUAGAUAUCAGGAGGAAUACCGAUGGCGAAGGCAGCUCGCUGGGACGUGACUGACGCUGAGACGCGAAAGCGUGGGGAGCAAACAGG